This is an unclassified non-coding RNA of Callithrix jacchus (white-tufted-ear marmoset), 291 nucleotides long. It matches the Rfam family "Metazoan signal recognition particle RNA". Rfam says of the family: The signal recognition particle (SRP) is a universally conserved ribonucleoprotein. It is involved in the co-translational targeting of proteins to membranes. The eukaryotic SRP consists of a 300-nucleotide 7S RNA and six proteins: SRPs 72, 68, 54, 19, 14, and 9. Lineage: Eukaryota; Metazoa; Chordata; Mammalia; Primates; Cebidae. The record is from Ensembl.
ACCAGGUGCAGUGGCACAUGCCUAUAGUCACAGCUAAUUGGAAGGCUGAGGUAGGAGAAUGGCUUGAGCCUGGGAGCUCUGGGCUGUAGUGUCCUACGCCAACUGAGUGUCUGCACUAAGUUUAAUAUCAAUAUGGUGACCUCAGAAGCAGGGAUUUAGGUUUUCUAAGGAGGGGUGAAGUGACCCAGGUUGGAAACGGAGCAGGUCAAAACUCCCACGCUGAUUAGUAGUGGGAUUGUGCCCAUGACUAGCCAUGGCACUCCAUCCUGGGCAACAUAGUGAGACCCCCUU